UAGGGAAUCUUCGGCAAUGGACGAAAGUCUGACCGAGCAACGCCGCGUGAGUGAAGAAGGUUUUCGGAUCGUAAAACUCUGUUGUUAGAGAAGAACAAGGACGUUAGUAACUGAACGUCCCCUGACGGUAUCUAACCAGAAAGCCACGGCUAACUACGUGCCAGCAGCCGCGGUAAUACGUAGGUGGCAAGCGUUGUCCGGAUUUAUUGGGCGUAAAGCGAGCGCAGGCGGUUUCUUAAGUCUGAUGUGAAAGCCCCCGGCUCAACCGGGGAGGGUCAUUGGAAACUGGGAGACUUGAGUGCAGAAGAGGAGAGUGGAAUUCCAUGUGUAGCGGUGAAAUGCGUAGAUAUAUGGAGGAACACCAGUGGCGAAGGCGGCUCUCUGGUCUGUAAAUGACGCUGAGGCUCGAAAGCGGGGGGAGCAAACAGG
Molecule: ribosomal RNA, 429 nt
Filed under: Gemmatimonadota bacterium
Lineage: Bacteria; Pseudomonadati; Gemmatimonadota
Description: Gemmatimonadetes bacterium partial 16S ribosomal RNA
Rfam family: Bacterial small subunit ribosomal RNA
Source: RNAcentral